UACAGAGGUCUCAACCGUUGUUCGGAUUCAUUGGGCGUAAAGGGUGCGUAGGCGGUCGUGCAAGUCGGAUGUGAAAUCUCAGGGCUCAACCCUGAAACUGCAUUCGAUACGGGAAGGCUAGAGUUCGGUAGGGGAGACUGGAAUUCCUGGUGUAGCGGUGAAAUGCGCAGAUAUCAGGAGGAACACCGGUGGCGAAGGCGGGUCUCUGGGCAGUAACUGACGCUGAGGAGCGAAAGCGUGGGGAGCGAACAGG
Molecule: ribosomal RNA, 253 nt
Filed under: uncultured bacterium
Lineage: Bacteria
Description: partial 16S ribosomal RNA
Rfam family: Bacterial small subunit ribosomal RNA
Source: RNAcentral